RNAcentral lists this ribosomal RNA (1758 nucleotides) under Triticum aestivum (bread wheat). RNAcentral's name for it is "partial small subunit ribosomal RNA". The record is from RNAcentral. Lineage: Eukaryota; Viridiplantae; Streptophyta; Magnoliopsida; Poales; Poaceae.
AUGGAUGCAGUGAAGACGAUGGAGAUUCUGUCUGAGAUGAAGGCUAAUGAUCCUGAUUUCAAUUACACAGUACAAGUGGAUGAGGAGAGCCGUAUAAAAACACUGAUGUGGGUAACAAGCAGAGGUUUUGAUCAGUACAGGUGCUUCGGAGAUGCAAUAACUUUUGAUACAACAUACCGUACCAAUCUAUAUGAUAUGCCUUUCGGUCUUUUUGUUGGAGUUAACAAUCACUUUCAAAGCAUAAUUUUUUGUGGCGCAAUGAUGAGGGAUGAGAAAGAGGACACAUUCAAGUGGAUAUUCAGGGAGUUCAUCCGCAUGGUUGGCGGGAAACACCCGCAGACGAUUCUUACUAAUCAGGCGCGUGCUAUGGAGCUGGCUAUUGAGGUAGAACUACCAAACACAGUACACCGUUGGUGUAAGUGGCACGUUUUGAAGAAGGUGAAGGAGUCGAUGGGUGUGCUCUGGAGCAAGAACAGUAAUUUUAAGAUGGAGUUCCACAAGCUUGUACAUCACAUGAUCACAGAGGAAGAAUUUGGAGCUGGUUGGCAGGACAUGUUGGAAAAGUACAACUUGAGGAAGCAUCCAUUCCUGACGCAAAUAUAUGAGGUGCAGCAUAAGUGGGCAAAGCCAUAUUUCAGAGGCGUGUUUUGUGCAAAGAUGAAUAGCACACAACGAAGUGAAAGUGCUAACCAUCUGCUGAAGGGUUAUGUUCCACCGGGGUGCCCUAUGCAUCUUUUCUUGAAACAAUUCGAAAAGCUUCAGUUUGACAGGGAGUCAGAAGAGAGCUUCCAAGAGAAGAGUACAUUGCUAAGUGGUGUCUCGCUUCGACUAAACCUGCCAAUAGAGAGGCAUGCUAGCAAGGUGUACACCCGAGCCAUGUUCGAGAAAUUUGAUGAAGAACUAUAUAAAUGUGGCACACAUGUAUUGGAUGAGAUUGUGCCGAGAAAGAUUUAUAAAUCAACCCAUAUAGAUGCGGCGGCAAGAGAAAAAUGGAGUAAGGUAGAGUUCAAGAUCGAAGUGAAUGAUGAUGAGAGUUUUUUUAGUUGCGAAUGUGGCACAUUUGAACACUCUGGCUUGGUGUGUUGCCAUGCAUUGCAGGUUAUGGUGUUCUUCCGUCUAUCGAAGAUACCCGAGAAACAUAUAAUGAAACGAUGGACAAGAGAUGCACGUGAUGUUCUCCCUGCAUAUUUGGUACGGUACCAAAGAGACAGAGGCCCUCCUUCUAGUGACACAUUCAGGCAUCACACAAUGUACAUGAAGGCGCUUGAAUGUGUGUUGCUUGGUGAUAGUAAUGUUAAGUGCUAUGGUGUUUUCAUAGCUAUGAUGAAGGAGGUGCAAGCCGCUCUGGUGCCGUUAAGCAGUGAUAAGGAUGGCAUGGGACUAGCAGAAAGGGAACAACAAAAUCAGCUGCUUGUUCAGAACGAGCAAGAGACACUUGAGUUGCAAGGCUGUGCGACAAGGUCUCAGUGUGAUGGUGAAUCAAGUUGUUCAGUGAUUGUAGGACAACGGAAAAAAUGGCCGAGGGGUAGACCUACAACAAGCCGUGACAAAGCUCUGUAUGAAGAACAUUUGAAGAGAUUGCGGUUCUGCACGAUCUGCAAGAGUCAGGGCCACAAAUGCACAACUUGCCCAGAGAGAGGCGAUGUGCCCAAGGCGCCAAGGAAAUUGCCAAAGUGUUCAAAUUGUGGUGUGCUUGGACACAGGCGUAAUGCUUGUGGCACCAAGAAAUCUGGACCGUUCGAGCCUAAUUUUCUGUAA